RNAcentral lists this long non-coding RNA (1240 nucleotides) under Homo sapiens (human). Its description in RNAcentral is "long non-coding RNA NONHSAT167044.1". Lineage: Eukaryota; Metazoa; Chordata; Mammalia; Primates; Hominidae. The record is from RNAcentral.
UGCUGAUCUGACAGGAGGCGGAGCUCAGGCAGUAAGGCUCCCGGCCACUCAUCUGCUGUGCGGCCGGGUUCCUAACAGACCACGGACACAUAGCCGUUUGCAGCCGGGAGGUUAGGGACUCCUGCUUACGGUGUAUAUCUAGAAGCAGGCUAAUCGACACUUCUCCUUCGUGCCAUCAUGUGAAGAAGGAUGUGUUUGCUUCCCCUUCAACCAUGAUUGUAAGUUUCCUGAGGCCUCCGCAGCCAUGCAGAACUGUGAGUCAAUUAAACCUCUUUCCUUUCUAAAUGACACAGUCUUGGGCAGCCCUUUAGAGCAGUGUAAGAACAGACUAAUAUAUACUCUAACAUUAGAAUAUUUUUUAGGUUUAUUGUCAAAAAUACUCUUAUACAUAGCAAGAUGUAUUUAUUUUCUAUUCUAUAAUAUUCACAUAAAAAGAACACGCUUAGUCCAAAACAUAAGUUCUCAAUGUUUUUGAUUCAUUUACAUAUAAGUUAAAGCCAAAUGUAACAUAACAUGCAUGUAAAAGGGUAAUUGGUGGCCUACUUUUCAAUGACUUGCUAGCCAUUCAUAUGAACACACAUAAAUAAGAUACGAAAUAUAUUUCACCACAACAAGCUCUGUUUUAAUAAUAGCUUUAUAUUUCGGUUGUCCAGUGGAUGAAACAUAUAUUUCUAUCCUCAGAUUUUGUAAAAACAAUCUAUUUAGUAAAAUACACAUGAGAAACAGAAGACAAAAACCUAUCUGAAUAUCACCUCAAGAUAUUUAAUAUGUAUUUGACCUCUAACAAUGAAUGGUUUUCAUGAAUUUAAGCUAUUUAUUGAAACAGGUAUUAUUUUAAAAUGCCUCAAAGAAAAAUAUGUAUGAAACCUAACAAAUGAUAAUAAUUUUAUGUAGAAGAAACAGAUGAUUGAGUUUGUGCAAUCUUAUUUUGUUAAUUUUGUUUUACAUAUGUUUCUAUAUCCUCAGAUAUAAAGUAUAGUGGUUGUAUGAUAUGUUCUGGAAAGGGGAAUGUUCAAAUCCAGUCUCUGUUACUCUGUUAUUUGGGCAUAUAUCAUCUGCCUUAUAACACCAAUUUUCUUAUAUAUAAAAUUUGUGUAUAAUAAUAUAUAACUUAUUUCUGAUACAUAGCAGUUUAUUAAUAUGAACUCUUAUAUUGUGAAUAUUGUAAAUUUUAUUUCUAUCAUCUCCUUGAGCAUAUGUGAUGCUUCAUUACUUUCUAUAUCCUUAAAUUUUAGCAGUG